GAGGUUAAACGGCCGCGGUAUUCUGACCGUGCAAAGGUAGCAUAAUCACUUGUUCCCUAAUUAGGGACUAGAAUGAACGGCAAAACGAGGGUUUAACUGUCUCUUAUUUCUUAUCAGUGAAAUUGACCUUCCCGUGAAGAGGCGGGAAUAUCUAAAUAAGACGAGAAGACCCUAUGGAGCUUUAAUUUACUAACUUAUUUCUUAAUUAUAAUAAUCUAAUGAAUUAACAUCUGAAAACUAAGUUAAUAAUUUAGGUUGGGGUGACCUCGGAGAAUAAAAUAACCUCCGAAAGAUUCUAAUUUAGAUCGACAGAUCAAAAUAUAAACAAGUUAAUCAAAUUGACCCAAUCACUUGAUCAACGAACCAAGUUACCCUAGGGAUAACAGCGCUAUCUUAUUUGAGAGUUCAUAUCGAAAAUAGGGUUUACGACCUCGAUGUUGGAUCAGGAUAUCCCAA
RNAcentral lists this ribosomal RNA (456 nucleotides) under Gerbilliscus gambianus. RNAcentral describes it as "partial 16S ribosomal RNA". It matches the Rfam family "Bacterial large subunit ribosomal RNA", at positions 1919 to 2550 of the family's 2925-position model. Lineage: Eukaryota; Metazoa; Chordata; Mammalia; Rodentia; Muridae. The record is from RNAcentral.